GCUUAACACAUGCAAGUCGAGGGGCAGCAUGGUCUUAGCUUGCUAAGGCCGAUGGCGACCGGCGCACGGGUGAGUAACACGUAUCCAACCUGCCGUCUACUCUUGGACAGCCUUCUGAAAGGAAGAUUAAUACAAGAUGGCAUCAUGAGUCCGCAUGUUCACAUGAUUAAAGGUAUUCCGGUAGACGAUGGGGAUGCGUUCCAUUAGAUAGUAGGCGGGGUAACGGCCCACCUAGUCUUCGAUGGAUAGGGGUUCUGAGAGGAAGGUCCCCCACAUUGGAACUGAGACACGGUCCAAACUCCUACGGGAGGCAGCAGUGAGGAAUAUUGGUCAAUGGGCGAGAGCCUGAACCAGCCAAGUAGCGUGAAGGAUGACUGCCCUAUGGGUUGUAAACUUCUUUUAUAAAGGAAUAAAGUCGGGUAUGGAUACCCGUUUGCAUGUACUUUAUGAAUAAGGAUCGGCUAACUCCGUGCCAGCAGCCGCGGUAAUACGGAGGAUCCGAGCGUUAUCCGGAUUUAUUGGGUUUAAAGGGAGCGUAGAUGGAUGUUUAAGUCAGUUGUGAAAGUUUGCGGCUCAACCGUAAAAUUGCAGUUGAUACUGGAUAUCUUGAGUGCAGUUGAGGCAGGCGGAAUUCGUGGUGUAGCGGUGAAAUGCUUAGAUAUCACGAAGAACUCCGAUUGCGAAGGCAGCCUGCUAAGCUGCAACUGACAUUGAGGCUCGAAAGUGUGGGUAUCAAACAGGAUUAGAUACCCUGGUAGUCCACACGGUAAACGAUGGAUACUCGCUGUUUGCGAUAUACUGCAAGCGGCCAAGCGAAAGCGUUAAGUAUUCCACCUGGGGAGUACGCCGGCAACGGUGAAACUCAAAGGAAUUGACGGGGGCCCGCACAAGCGGAGGAACAUGUGGUUUAAUUCGAUGAUACGCGAGGAACCUUACCCGGGCUUAAAUUGCAGAUGAAUUACGGUGAAAGCCGUAAGCCGCAAGGCAUCUGUGAAGGUGCUGCAUGGUUGUCGUCAGCUCGUGCCGUGAGGUGUCGGCUUAAGUGCCAUAACGAGCGCAACCCUUGUUGUCAGUUACUAACAGGUUCCGCUGAGGACUCUGACAAGACUGCCAUCGUAAGAUGUGAGGAAGGUGGGGAUGACGUCAAAUCAGCACGGCCCUUACGUCCGGGGCUACAUACGUGUUACAAUGGGGGGUACAGAGGGCCGCUACCACGCGAGUGGAUGCCAAUCCCCAAAACCUCUCUCAGUUCGGACUGGAGUCUGCAACCCGACUCCACGAAGCUGGAUUCGCUAGUAAUCGCGCAUCAGCCACGGCGCGGUGAAUACGUUCCCGGGCCUUGUACACACCGCCCGUCAAGCCAUGGGAGCCGGGGGUACCUGAAGUGCGUAACCGCGAGGAGCGCCCUAGGGUAAAACUGGUGACUGGGGCUAAGUC
RNAcentral lists this ribosomal RNA (1437 nucleotides) under uncultured bacterium. RNAcentral's name for it is "16S ribosomal RNA". It matches the Rfam family "Bacterial small subunit ribosomal RNA". The record is from RNAcentral.